Prunus avium (sweet cherry) is the source of this 2870-nucleotide non-coding RNA. The record is from RefSeq and is a predicted model, not a curated record. Lineage: Eukaryota; Viridiplantae; Streptophyta; Magnoliopsida; Rosales; Rosaceae.
AUGACUAUGAGUACCAACAACAACAGCAACCACAGCAAAGAAAAGCUUGUGGUGGAGGUGGUAGCAGCACACAACCUCAUGCCCAAAAACGGUGAAGGUUCCUCUUCACCAUUUGUAGAAAUAGAGUUUGAGAACCAAAGGCUCAGAACCCAAGUAAAAUACAAAGACCUCAACCCCAUUUGGAACGAAAAGCUUGUGUUCCAUAUCAAAGACGUGGCUGAUCUUCCUUACAGAACCAUAGAAGCCAAUGUCUUCAACGAGAGGAGGUCCAGCAAUAGCAGAAAUUUCCUGGGAAAAGUUCGAGUUUCGGGCACUAACAUUGCAAAAGAAGGUGAAUAGGUCCCUCAGCUUUAUACCCUUGACAAAAGGAGCCUUUUUUCUCACAUCAGAGGGGAAAUAAGCUUCAAGCUUUACCUUUCAACAAGGGAAGAGGUCAAGGAAUUUGGGGCUAAUGGAACAGUCUCAUCCUUUAUUUCUGCUCCUUCUGCUUCGGCUUCUGGGUUUUCAAAGAAAAGCAAGAAACUUCAGGGACCAAACUCAACCAUGGCGGCAAAUCAGCAGCUGGUACAAGAAACAAAGCAAACCCAACAUAACCAGAACAACAACCACCACUCAAAGAAUGUGGAUCAACCAAGUCCAAGUGAGGUGAUUCUGAUGAACAAGCCUGUUUUGAUUAAUACAGGGCCUGGUUCUGUUAUGUUCGGUGUUGGGGGCGGUGGGGUGGGUGUAUACUCAAAUAGGUUGACCGAGUUUACACUCAAAGAGACUCAGCCUCAACUUGGAGGUGAGUCUUUGAAAAAGGACAAAGCUAGCUCUACUUAUGACCUUGUUGAGCAAAUGCAGUACCUUUAUGUGAGAGUUGUGAAAUCCAAAGGAAUCUCUUUGUUUGGUGGUGGAGAUUUGGUGGCUGAAGUGAAGGUAGGGAACUACAGAGGAAUUACAAAGAAGGUUGGUUUGAACAAUGUUGAGUGGGGUCAAGUUUUUGCUUUUUCAAAAGAUUGCAUACAGUCAUCAAUGGUGGAGAUUUUUGUGAAAGACGGCAGCAAAGAUGACUUCUUAGGCCAUGUUUGGUUUGAUUUGAAUGAGGUUCCGAAGAGUGCCUUGCCGGAUAGUCAGUUGGCUCCACAAUGGUAUAGAAUGGAGGAUAAGAAGGGUGAUAAGUAGAAAACAUGGGAGGUGAUGCUUUCAAUUUGGUUUGGGACUCAGGCUGAUGAGGCAUUUGCUGAAGCUUGGCAUUCAAAGUCUGCUAAUGUGAAUUUUGAUGGGUUUUGUUCGAUUAAGUCGAAGGUUUAUUUGUCCCCGAGGCUGUGGUAUUUGAGAGUGUCCAUCAUUGAAGCUCAAGACAUUGUUCUUGGUAAGAAAGGGCCUAUAAUGAUUAGCUUUCCUGAGCUUUUCGUGAAAGUUCAAGUGGGAAACCAGGUUUUGAGGACUAGAAUUGCACAGCCAAGCAGCUUGAGGAGCCUAUACAACCCUUAUUGGAAUGAUGAGAUGAAGUUUGUGGUGGCUGAGCCAAUAGACGACUACUUGUUGGUUUCUGUUGAAGACAAGGUCGGGCCAGGGCGUGAUGAGGUGGUGGGGAGAGUGCUUCUUCCGAUGAUAGCAAUCGAAAAGCGAACAGAUGAAAAGCCAAUGGUUUCAAGAUGGUUUAAUCUUGACAACAACCAUUUCAACAAUGCAGCAGAAGAGUCCAAAAUGAUUACAAGGUUUGGGUCUAGAAUUCAUCUUUGGGUUUCACUUGAUGGUGGUUAUCGUGUGCUAGAUGAGGCCACAAUGUAUAGCAGUGAUCUUAAGCCAACCGACAAGCGGCUUUGGAAGCCUCAUAUUGGUGUGCUUGAAAUGGGGAUUUUGGGUGCAACAGGGCUUAUGCCAAUGAAAAUCAAAGAAGGGAAAAAGGGUCUAGUGAUGCCUAUUGUGUUGCAAAGUAUGGUCACAAAUGGAUUCGAACUCGAACUGUUGUCAAUAGCUUGUCCCCAAAAUGGAACGAGCAGUACACUUGGGAGGUGUAUGAUCCCUGCACAGUUGUCACAAUUGGAGUGUUUGAUAAUUCCCGCAUAAACAAGAACUUGGCAAACAAUCCAGGAGCUCGUGAUUCACGAAUUGGGAAAGUUAGGAUUCGAUUGUCCACACUUGAAUUUGAUCGGGUUUAUAUUACUCACUCGUAUCCCCUCCUCAUGCUGCACACUUCAGGGGUAAAGAAAAUGGGUGAGCUUGAUUUAGCUAUUCGGUUUACAUGUGCUAAUAUGGCUAACAUGAUGCAUAUGUACACAAUGCCACCGUUACCAAAGAUGCAUUUUGUGAACCCUUUGAGUGUGAAUCAAUUGGAGACCCUGAGGUAUCAAGCAAUGAAUGUGGUGGCGUCUAGGCUUAGCCGGGCAGAGCCGCAAUUGGGCAGAGAGGUCGUGGAGUAUAUGCUUGAUCAUGACUCUCAUAUGUGGAGCAUGAGAAGGAGCAAAGCCAACUUCUUUCAACUAAUGAAUGUUCUCUCAAGACUUGUUGCUAUGGGAAGAUUUGUUGAAUUGAUGCGCAGUUGGAACAAGCCGGCCUACUCUGCUCUAUUUGUUGCAUUUUUCCUCUUGCUUGUUGCAUUUCCAGAGCUCAUAAUCCUAAUGAUUUUGCUUUACACUGCCUUCUUGGGACUUUGGCGAUAUAAGUCUAGACCACGCCAACCUCCCCACAUGGAUAUCCGGCUUUCCCAAGCUGAGAGCAUCUAUGCCGAUGAAUUGGAUGAGGAAUUGGAUGAGGGGAUCAGAGUUGUGGUGGUUUUGUUGGGCUUGUAUGUGCUGAGGCCGCCGAGGUUCAGGAGCAAGUUGCCUUGCCAACCUUUGAGUUUCUUUAGUAGGCUACCCACCAGGGCUGAUAGCUUGUUGUAG